Oryzias melastigma (Indian medaka) is the source of this 3494-nucleotide long non-coding RNA. RefSeq lists it as uncharacterized. The transcript is spliced from 2 exons. The record is from RefSeq and is a predicted model, not a curated record. Lineage: Eukaryota; Metazoa; Chordata; Actinopteri; Beloniformes; Adrianichthyidae.
UUUCACUAUUUUAAAAACAUUGUUCUUAAAAAAUCAUAAGAAAUUGCUAAAGCUAGAACAAAAACUAAAAUACAGCAAAAAACAAACCAAAACGAGAAAAUAUGUACGUGUAUGUAUGUAUAAUUUAUAUAUAUAGUUAUUUAUGGCUAUAUAUAUUUUUUUUUUUUGUAGCUUAAACACUUUUUUUCUGAUAUAUAACCGCCGGCAUACAAAUACAGGCACGCAUUAAAUAAUUGAAUGUAGGUUGUGACACUGGAAACUUGCACGCAACAUUUUUACAACUGUAUUAAAUAAAUCAACACAUACAGUCCUUUUUCCAGAAGGUUUUUGAACAUGUAUAAAAAAAACAAAUAUCUGGUCACAAAACAUAAAAAAAUAACAAUUGAAAUGGCAAAAAAGUGAGAUGAAGCAUACAACUAUUCCUAGUAUUAAUUUAAUUAAAAAAAACACAUAGUGUCUACUAAAAAUGGAACACGUUUUUGAACGUUAAAUUUUUAAUAAUCAAGAAAGUAAAAAAUUGAAAAAUGUAGUAAAUGUGCAUUUUCUUGAAGAUUUAAACAAGGGUUUUACUAAAUAGUGAGCAUUUGUGUUAAACAUAUUUUGGUUUUUAUUUAUUUAUCUAUUUUUUAUCUAAACUAAUGCAGUAGAAAAAAUAAACAAGGAACUAAAUGUUUAUUUCUGUAGCACCCCUCCCAGAUAAAAACCAACAGUGUUUCACAAAAAUAAAAUGGCAUAAAACAAUCAGUCACACAUAGAGACAAACACACCACAAGCCAGUAAAACCAAAGUAAGACACAAUAAAAGCCAAAAAUAGUAGUAACAAUAUUUACAAAAUACUUUUUGGGGCCAAACGUGGAUCCUUGUGGUACACCAAAUGCUCAAACAUGCUGAAUAAGCAGAAUUUCAACAAACUCCUGUCUUUCUACAAUAUUUCUCUGCCCAUCCUUUUUAUGUGGUUGCUGGAGCCUAUCCAAACUACCAUAGUGUGAAAGCGAGGCUAACGAUUGACGGUUCACCAGUCUCAGCAGAUCUCAUGAUCAUCUACCUUUUUCAAGACAAUUGUGAGUAAAAACAGCCAAAGGAUUAUUAACAAACAUGAAAAGUCUUUGUAAAAAUGUGAUUGACAUACGAGCUAAAAGAAGGUAACAAGCAGACAAAUCCACAGAGAAGCUCCUGGGAUUAAAAAUUCCCACUGGAUUCUGCACCUGGAGGUCCGAUGGUUUAGUAGCAGAGCCAGUAAAUCUUCUCUAUGUGCAGAAGAGAGGAAACGGUUCAUACCAGAGGAGAGAAGGGGCUCUGACAUUGUACCUCCACCUUUGUUUUAAUGGAAAGAUGAAAAAUAGGAUAAAUAUUCAAAGAUCAUAACUUUACUGUCUGAAACUGAGGGAAAACAUCAGCAUUUAAAACCUAUUUCAUUUAAAGUAUUAUAUUUAAAAUGCAUAAAGUAUUUGGUCAAAAUGAUGAAAAUGAGUUACAAGAUUUAAAUAUACGUGUUUAGCAUCAUCAAAAACAGUUUAAGUUCAUGGAGAUGUGGUUUCAUCUGCAGACAGGAUGGUGAGACCUCUGGAGGCUUUAUUUUUGUGAUUAUAUUAAUAUGUUUUCAUUUUUUAAAACACAAAUAAUUGUAUUUCCUUUAUAAUGUUAAGUAUGUCGAUUGAAAACGACCAAAUAAUUGAUCACAAAUAGGAUUUUCUUUUGUUCAAAAACCUGAGAUACAAACAGCUGGAUGUCUCAAAGAAUCACAUUCUUCCACUGAUUUCUUGGCCCCGUUUUCAUUUCCAAAUGUUUUCUUUCCCGGUGAAGUUCCUGCUCCUCAGCAUCUGCAGGAAAUGAUGCCAAAAAAUUUCAGUGUGAGCUUUUUUGUGAUGGGGUGGGCGGAGCUUGGUAGGUUAUUCUUUUAGAGCGACAUUUUAAGGGCUUUAAAGUGUCUGGAAACAGAUCAUUUCAGAUAACACAACCUGAAGAUGUUCUAUAAAGGAAUUUGUGAAUUUGUGUGUUUCACUACUUUUAUGAAUCACCAUUAUGUUUCAGUAUUUUGACCUUUAAUAUGACAUUUUAUUAUUUUUUGCGUCCUAACAUGUGAAUGUGUUUGUGAGUUUUAAUAUAGGAAGUGGACUGAGGGAUGCCUCCUCCCUCACAACCCAAACAGUUGGUACCCACUAAAAUUCUAAAAAAAAAAACACCUCAAGUCUUCCCAAAGGGCAUCUACAGUAGAAGUGGAAACCAAAGAACUGCCCACCUGAGUCCGGCUUCAGAGGCCACUGUUGCUGAUGACCUGGUUCAACUUCCUCCAUAGUCUUGGUCCAUGUCACUUGCUGUUACUCCCCACCUUAAAACCACGUGGAAGUCCUGUUCAUUCGGAGAACUCUUCCGGAGAAUAGCCAUGGCUGAUCCCUCGUUUGCAGCGUUUGCGUCUCUCUGUCACCUACCAUAACUGUCUCCCACACUUGGUGGCUUCGCCGCCAUUUAUGUGUGCGUGAGGGUGGCUGAGUCACACUGUGCCUCACACACCAUUGUGUCACCACUGAGUCACCCCUACCACUCAUAAUGCACAGGCCAGUGCACAACUGAUGUUUGUGGAGAGCGCGGAGGGUUCAGGGUUAACCGUUCAGAAGAUGAGCUGUGGUGACACAAAUGUACGGAGAGAAAAUAGACUAAUCUGAUUAGUGUGUAAUUCUUGAUUUGUAAUUUGUGUCUGCAUGUUUGUGUAUAACAUUGGAUGUUAGCGUACAUAAUUCUUGAUUUGUAACUUAUGCAAUACUUUUUGUACAUAACUGUGUAUUCUUGCAAUUGUGUUUUCGUAUGUACACAAGUUACAAAAUACAGUUUACAUGUGUACAACUUAAAAUUACAAAAGUUUAAACUAACGACCCAAAUCUUUAAAAGGUACUCACCAAUCAUCUGAUACACACACAAAACCACAUUUACGCACAAAUCUGAUGUGAGACUCCUCACAUCUCCAAGAUUUGUGCGUACGUGAUGCAUUUAAAUGUUGCUAGAAUGCUGGGUCAUCAGAGUUUUAACAGCUGCUUUGAAUUCAAUUCAAUUGAAUUUAAUGUUAUUUUUAUACUCUAAUAUCACAAAACAAUUGUCUCAUAGGGAUUCAUACCAGUGCUUCUGGAAAAGCAAAAAGUCUGUCAUAAAAUACAAACAAUAGCCGGUUGCUGAACUAAACAGACUGAACUAAACUAGACCCACCUUCUCAGAGAUGAAAAACUCCAAAAAAGAGAAAAAACACAAAUACCUUAUUCUUGCAAAAAAAGAAGAAACCUCAGUGAUGUGAAAGAAGAAUUCGUUUAUCUGUUCCAGAUAGAACUGGGGGAAGGCUGGGGGUGAAGUCCACUGCUAAGAACAGCCAGAGGCGCGUUCCACGGCCAAGAACAAGAGCACAGACGUUCCACCUGGAAGCUGAACUCUCUUGGAAAGAGGAACAACACAUGAAUUGCACUGCACCAAACAGAUGCAUAGAGAACUAAAUAAAAUAAUAAGAAUAU